CGGGCUAGGUUUGCACAAUCCGACGGUUGGCAAUGAUCUUCAUGUGCGAUCGAACGAUCAGUAGCUGCUAGCCAAGGGAAGAAGUUUGGGAUGAUUUUGCACCAUCUGAUGGUCUAGAAUGCAAAUCAAUCAAGAUCUGAUAGCCAGCAUUGAUUUCCAACAUGAUAAGGCAUUGAUGAGCUUGAUUUCGGGCCAUUUGAUCAUGAUUGGAUGGUGAGCGUGGGUUGAGGAGUUUGAACACAAUUGAGAGCCCAAUACUACUUGAUUUCAAUCCAUAUUUUACUCUAUAAAAAGCUUAGCACCGAUCAACAGAGAGAGCAGUGGAAAUGGGCAACAGAUCAGAGCAAGCAGCAGUAGAAACUUUUCUUGUUUAUUUUUUUCUAGUUAUUGUCUUAGGCUUUGG
RNAcentral lists this long non-coding RNA (403 nucleotides) under Elaeis guineensis (African oil palm). RNAcentral describes it as "long non-coding RNA (EGUI_LNC058897)". The record is from RNAcentral. Lineage: Eukaryota; Viridiplantae; Streptophyta; Magnoliopsida; Arecales; Arecaceae.